AUAUGGAAAUGUGACCUUAAUGACUAUGCAAAUCCACAGCGGCACGGACACGACGGUUCUCAGCAGUCCCGAGCAGAGAGAGAGAGAGAGAGAGAGAGAGAGAGAGAGAGAGAGAGAGAGAGAGAGAGAGAGGGAGAGAGAGAGAGAGAGGGAGGGAGAGAGAGAGGAUGGAAUGAGAGAUGGUGAGAGGGAGACAGACACAGAGAGAGAUAGAGGCAGACAGACGGAGAGAGAGAGAGAGAGAGAGAGGGAGAGAGAGAGAGAGAGGGAGAGAGAGAGAGAGAGAGAGAGAGAGAGAGAGAGAGAGAGAGAAAGAGAGGGAGAGAGAGAGAGAGAGAGAGAGAGAGAGAGAAGAGAGAAAAG
Ictalurus punctatus (channel catfish) is the source of this 363-nucleotide long non-coding RNA. The record is from Ensembl. NCBI's taxonomy places the organism in Eukaryota, Metazoa, Chordata, Actinopteri, Siluriformes, Ictaluridae.